GAUGAACGCUGGCGGCGUGCUUAACACAUGCAAGUCGAACGUGAAGAGAGUUUUCGGAUUCUCUGAAAGUGGCGAACGGGUGAGUAACACGUAGAUGACCUGCCCUGGAGUGGGGGAUAACCAUUGGAAACGGUGGCUAAUACCGCAUGCGCCUGUUAGCUUGGGAAAGCGAAUAGGGAAAGCUCUGGUGCUCUGGGAGGGGUCUGCGUCCGAUUAGCUAGUUGGUGGGUAAAGCUUACCAAGGCGACGAUCGGUAGCUGGUCUGAGAGGACGAUCAGCCACACGGGAACUGAGACACGGUCCCGACUCCUACGGGAGGCUG
RNAcentral lists this ribosomal RNA (322 nucleotides) under uncultured Chloroflexota bacterium. Its description in RNAcentral is "bacterial SSU rRNA". It matches the Rfam family "Bacterial small subunit ribosomal RNA", at positions 28 to 351 of the family's 1533-position model. The record is from RNAcentral. Lineage: Bacteria; Bacillati; Chloroflexota.